Molecule: ribosomal RNA, 1341 nt
Filed under: Staphylococcus aureus
Lineage: Bacteria; Bacillati; Bacillota; Bacilli; Caryophanales; Staphylococcaceae
Description: partial 23S ribosomal RNA
Rfam family: Bacterial large subunit ribosomal RNA
Source: RNAcentral
GACGGGUGAGAAUCCCGUCCACCGAUUGACUAAGGUUUCCAGAGGAAGGCUCGUCCGCUCUGGGUUAGUCGGGUCCUAAGCUGAGGCCGACAGGCGUAGGCGAUGGAUAACAGGUUGAUAUUCCUGUACCACCUAUAAUCGUUUUAAUCGAUGGGGGGACGCAGUAGGAUAGGCGAAGCGUGCGAUUGGAUUGCACGUCUAAGCAGUAAGGCUGAGUAUUAGGCAAAUCCGGUACUCGUUAAGGCUGAGCUGUGAUGGGGAGAAGACAUUGUGUCUUCGAGUCGUUGAUUUCACACUGCCGAGAAAAGCCUCUAGAUAGAAAAUAGGUGCCCGUACCGCAAACCGACACAGGUAGUCAAGAUGAGAAUUCUAAGGUGAGCGAGCGAACUCUCGUUAAGGAACUCGGCAAAAUGACCCCGUAACUUCGGGAGAAGGGGUGCUCUUUAGGGUUAACGCCCAGAAGAGCCGCAGUGAAUAGGCCCAAGCGACUGUUUAUCAAAAACACAGGUCUCUGCUAAACCGUAAGGUGAUGUAUAGGGGCUGACGCCUGCCCGGUGCUGGAAGGUUAAGAGGAGUGGUUAGCUUCUGCGAAGCUACGAAUCGAAGCCCCAGUAAACGGCGGCCGUAACUAUAACGGUCCUAAGGUAGCGAAAUUCCUUGUCGGGUAAGUUCCGACCCGCACGAAAGGCGUAACGAUUUGGGCACUGUCUCAACGAGAGACUCGGUGAAAUCAUAGUACCUGUGAAGAUGCAGGUUACCCGCGACAGGACGGAAAGACCCCGUGGAGCUUUACUGUAGCCUGAUAUUGAAAUUCGGCACAGCUUGUACAGGAUAGGUAGGAGCCUUUGAAACGUGAGCGCUAGCUUACGUGGAGGCGCUGGUGGGAUACUACCCUAGCUGUGUUGGCUUUCUAACCCGCACCACUUAUCGUGGUGGGAGACAGUGUCAGGCGGGCAGUUUGACUGGGGCGGUCGCCUCCUAAAAGGUAACGGAGGCGCUCAAAGGUUCCCUCAGAAUGGUUGGAAAUCAUUCAUAGAGUGUAAAGGCAUAAGGGAGCUUGACUGCGAGACCUACAAGUCGAGCAGGGUCGAAAGACGGACUUAGUGAUCCGGUGGUUCCGCAUGGAAGGGCCAUCGCUCAACGGAUAAAAGCUACCCCGGGGAUAACAGGCUUAUCUCCCCCAAGAGUUCACAUCGACGGGGAGGUUUGGCACCUCGAUGUCGGCUCAUCGCAUCCUGGGGCUGUAGUCGGUCCCAAGGGUUGGGCUGUUCGCCCAUUAAAGCGGUACGCGAGCUGGGUUCAGAACGUCGUGAGACAGUUCGGUCCCUAUCCGUCGUGGGC